UACGUAGGGGGCGAGCGUUGUCCGGAAUCAUUGGGCGUAAAGAGCUCGUAGGCGGCUCGGUAAGUCGGGUGUGAAACCCCCAGGCUCAACCUGGGGACGCCACCCGAUACUGCUGUGGCUAGAGUCCAGUAGGGGAGUGUGGAAUUCCCGGUGUAGCGGUGAAAUGCGCAGAUAUCGGGAGGAACACCAGCGGCGAAGGCGGCACUCUGGGCUGGAACUGACGCUGAGGAGCGAAAGCGUGGGUAGCAAACAGG
RNAcentral lists this ribosomal RNA (254 nucleotides) under uncultured bacterium. RNAcentral describes it as "partial 16S ribosomal RNA". It matches the Rfam family "Bacterial small subunit ribosomal RNA", at positions 524 to 776 of the family's 1533-position model. The record is from RNAcentral.